Molecule: ribosomal RNA, 449 nt
Filed under: uncultured bacterium
Lineage: Bacteria
Description: partial 16S ribosomal RNA
Rfam family: Bacterial small subunit ribosomal RNA
Source: RNAcentral
AACGAACGCUGGCGGCAUGCCUAACACAUGCAAGUCGAACGAGAUCUUCGGGUCUAGUGGCGCACGGGUGCGUAACGCGUGGGAAUCUGCCCUUUGGUUCGGAAUAACAGUUGGAAACGACUGCUAAUACCGGAUGAUGACGAAAGUCCUAAGAUUUAUCGCCAGAGGAUGAGCCCGCGUAGGAUUAGCUAGUUGGUGUGGUAAAGGCGCACGGAGGCGGCGACCCUUAGCUGGUCUGAGAGGAUGAUCAGCCACACUGGGACUGAGACACGGCCCAGACUCCUACGGGAGGCAGCAGUGGGGAAUAUUGGACAAUGGGCGAAAGCCUGAUCCAGCAAUGCCGCGUGAGUGACGAAGGCCUUAGGGCUGUAAAGCUCUUUUACCCGGGAUGAUAAUGACAGUACCGGGAGAAUAAGCUCCGGCUAACUCCGUGCCAGCCGCCGCAGUAA